RNAcentral lists this ribosomal RNA (568 nucleotides) under uncultured bacterium. RNAcentral describes it as "partial 16S ribosomal RNA". It matches the Rfam family "Bacterial small subunit ribosomal RNA", at positions 355 to 1375 of the family's 1533-position model. The record is from RNAcentral.
UGGGGAAUUUUGGACAAUGGGCGAAAGCCUGAUCCAGCAAUGCCGCGUGUGUGAAGAAGGCCUUCGGGUUGUAAACCUCUUUUAGCAGGGAAGAAGCGAAAGUGACGGUACCUGCAGAAAAAGCGCCGGCUAACUACGUGCCAGCAGCCGCGGUAAUACGUAGGGCGCAAGCGUUAUCCGGAAUUAUUGGGCGUAAAGAGCUCGUAGGCGGUUUGUCGCGUCUGCUGUGAAAUCCCGAGGCUCAACCUCGGGUCUGCAGUGGGUACGGGCAGACUAGAGUGCGGUAGGGGAGAUUGGAAUUCCUGGUGUAGCGGUGGAAUGCGCAGAUAUCAGGAGGAACACCGAUGGCGAAGGCAGAUCUCUGGGCCGUAACUGACGCUGAGGAGCGAAAGGGUGGGGAGCAAACAGGCUUAGAUACCCUGGUAGUCCACCCCGUAAACGUUGGGAACUAGUUGUGGGGUCCAUUCCACGGAUUCCGUGACGCAGCUAACGCAUUAAGUUCCCCGCCUGGGGAGUACGGCCGCAAGGCUAAAACUCAAAUGAAUUGACGGGGUCAUAGCUGUUUCCU